Molecule: non-coding RNA, 46 nt
Organism: Tauraco erythrolophus (red-crested turaco)
Lineage: Eukaryota; Metazoa; Chordata; Aves; Musophagiformes; Musophagidae
Source: Rfam
ACAAAGGUUUUUUUUAAAGCCAUUUAAUCUCAAAACACGAAGAACU